GAUGAAGAACGUAGCGAAAUGCGAUAAGUAGUGUGAAUUGCAGAAUUCAGUGAAUCAUCGAAUCUUUGAUCGCACAUUGCGCCCCUUGGUAUCCCGAGGGGCAUGCCUGUUCGAGCGUCAUUUCACCACUCAAGCCUGGCUUGGUGUUGGGCGACGUCCUCUUUGGGGACGCGCCUCGAAACGCUCGGCGGCGUGGCACCGGCUUUAAGCGUAGCAGAAUCUUUCGCUUUGGAAGUCGGGGCCCCGUCUGCCGGAAGACCUGCUCGCAAGGUUGACCUCGGAUCAGGCAGGGAUACCCGCUGAACUUAAGCAUAUCAAUAAGCGGAGGA
This 329-nucleotide unclassified non-coding RNA is filed under the name soil metagenome. RNAcentral's name for it is "partial contains 5.8S ribosomal RNA, internal transcribed spacer 2, and large subunit ribosomal RNA". The stretch from base 1 to 120 matches the Rfam family "5.8S ribosomal RNA", at positions 35 to 154 of the family's 154-position model. The record is from RNAcentral.